GACGAACGCUGGCGGCGUGCUUAACACAUGCAAGUCGAACGGAAAGGCCCUGCUUUUGUGGGGUGCUCGAGUGGCGAAAGGGUGAGUAACACGUGAGUAAACUGUCCUUGACUUUGGGAUAACUUCAGGAAACUGGGGCUAAUACCGGAUAGGAGCUCCUGCUGCAUGGUGGGGGUUGGAAAGUUUCGGCGGUUGGGGAUGGACUCGCGGCUUAUCAGCUUGUUGGUGGGGUGGUGGGGUACCAAGGCUUUGACGGGUAGCCGGCCUGAGAGGGUGACCGGCCACAUUGGGACUGAGAUACGGCCCAGACUCCUACGGGAGGCAGCAGUGGGGAAUAUUGCACAAUGGGCGGAAGCCUGAUGCAGCAACGCCGCGUGCGGGAUGACGGCCUUCGGGUUGUAAACCGUUUUCGCCUGUGACGAAGCGUGAGUGACGGUAAUGGGUAAAGAAGCACCGGCUAACUACGUG
RNAcentral lists this ribosomal RNA (468 nucleotides) under uncultured bacterium. Its description in RNAcentral is "partial 16S ribosomal RNA". It matches the Rfam family "Bacterial small subunit ribosomal RNA", at positions 28 to 507 of the family's 1533-position model. The record is from RNAcentral.